UACGAAGGGGGCUAGCGUUGUUCGGAAUUACUGGGCGUAAAGCGCACGUAGGCGGAUCGAUCAGUCAGGGGUGAAAUCCCAGGGCUCAACCCUGGAACUGCCUUUGAUACUGUCGAUCUGGAGUAUGGAAGAGGUGAGUGGAAUUCCGAGUGUAGAGGUGAAAUUCGUAGAUAUUCGGAGGAACACCGGUGGCGAAGGCGGAUCUCUGGGCCUUACCUGACGCUCAGGUGCGAAAGCUAGGGGAGCGAACAGG
This 253-nucleotide ribosomal RNA is filed under the name uncultured bacterium. RNAcentral describes it as "partial 16S ribosomal RNA". It matches the Rfam family "Bacterial small subunit ribosomal RNA", at positions 524 to 776 of the family's 1533-position model. The record is from RNAcentral.